GGCUGGUCCAACUGCUGCACUGGUAUUUACAACUAACUGAUCACAACCAGUUACAGAUUUCUUUGUUCCUUCUCCACUCCCACUGCUUCACUUGACUUAAA
Non-coding RNA from Homo sapiens (human), 101 nucleotides. It matches the Rfam family "Y RNA". From Rfam's summary of the family: Y RNAs are components of the Ro ribonucleoprotein particle (Ro RNP), in association with Ro60 and La proteins. The Y RNAs and Ro60 and La proteins are well conserved, but the function of the Ro RNP is not known. NCBI's taxonomy places the organism in Eukaryota, Metazoa, Chordata, Mammalia, Primates, Hominidae. The record is from Rfam.